This 253-nucleotide ribosomal RNA is filed under the name uncultured bacterium. RNAcentral's name for it is "partial 16S ribosomal RNA". It matches the Rfam family "Bacterial small subunit ribosomal RNA", at positions 524 to 776 of the family's 1533-position model. The record is from RNAcentral.
UACGGGGGGGGCAAGCGUUGUUCGGAAUUACUGGGCGUAAAGGGUUUGUAGGUGGCUUGCUAAGUCAGACGUGAAAUCCCUCAGCUUAACUGAGGAACUGCGUCUGAGACUGGCAAGCUUGAGUGCAGGAGAGGAACGCGGAAUUCCAGGUGUAGCGGUGAAAUGCGUAGAUAUCGAGAGGAACACCGAUGGCGAAAGCAGCUCCUUGGCUCAUUUCUGACACUGAAACACGAAAGCGUGGGGAGCAAACAGG